Macrobrachium nipponense is the source of this 235-nucleotide long non-coding RNA. RefSeq lists it as uncharacterized. The transcript has 2 exons. The record is from RefSeq and is a predicted model, not a curated record. NCBI's taxonomy places the organism in Eukaryota, Metazoa, Arthropoda, Malacostraca, Decapoda, Palaemonidae.
UGACAGAGGGCUUCGAGUCAUAGGCAAAGAUGCCGUGGCAUUCGCCGGGGGAGUUUUUUGACAUAGUGUUUAGUGUCCGGUUGGGAAUGGAUGGUUCUGGAUUUCUGUGGGACAGAGUUCCCAGGGAAAGGUGUGACCUUUUGGGUGACUUGACAAUGAGUAGUUUUAAGUUAGUCUGUGAGACUGGAUUACUUAGUUAUCGACUUAGUUAUUGUAAAUAAACGUUAUGUUAUGA